Molecule: ribosomal RNA, 240 nt
Filed under: uncultured bacterium
Lineage: Bacteria
Description: partial 16S ribosomal RNA
Rfam family: Bacterial small subunit ribosomal RNA
Source: RNAcentral
GAUCAUGACUCAGGAUGAGCGCUAGCUACAGGCUUAACACAUGCAAGUCGAGGGGCAGCAUUUUAGUUUGCUUGCAAACUAAAGAUGGCGACCGGCGCACGGGUGAGUAACACGUAUCCAACCUGCCGAUAACUCUGGGAUAGCCUUUCGAAAGAAAGAUUAAUACCGGAUGGCAUAGGAUUAUCGCAUGAUAAUCCUAUUAAAGAAUUUCGGUUAUCGAUGGGGAUGCGUUCCAUUAGG